Molecule: long non-coding RNA, 374 nt
Organism: Suricata suricatta (meerkat)
Lineage: Eukaryota; Metazoa; Chordata; Mammalia; Carnivora; Herpestidae
Exons: 3
Source: RefSeq, a predicted model, not a curated record
CUUCCCCACUAUUGGCGGUCAAAGUGGCCCCGACUCGGGAUGACAAUUGACGGGGAUCAAGGGAUUGCCCAUUCUGUGCCUGUAAGAACGGAUUCGUGCCAGAGAAACUCAUCAAGUGGAGGCGGAGAAUAAAGACCGUUCGGGGGGACGCCCGACGUUGCAAACAGGAACCGAAGCGUGGGGACCCUCCAGGUCCGGCUUGUCAAUGCGACCAUUGCUUUGAUGGGAGGCUCCUCAAGGUGACACAUUUCUGAACUUCACCCCCUUUUCAAACUAACUCCCUACCUCCUUGUUAGUGGCCAGCUCUGAACUUCUGCAGAGUGUUUUUGUGUGAGUCAAGGCUCAUUCACGGGCGCUUUUGUGGGCCUCUCCUC